CCAAUAGCGUAUAUUAAAGUUGUUGCAGUUAAAAAGCUCGUAGUUGAAUUUCGGGGUCAGCAAGUUGGUCGUGCCACUGGUAUGCACUGGCUUUGCUGAUUCCUCCUUCUUGUAGAACCGUAAUGCCAUUUAGUUGGUGUUGCGGGGAAACAGGACUGUUACUUUGAAAAAAUUAGAGUGUUUAAAGCAGGCUAACGCCUGAAUACAUUAGCAUGGAAUAAUGAAAUAGGACGAGCGAUCCUAUUUUGUUGGUUUCUAGGAUUGACGUAAUGAUUAAUAGGGAUAGUUGGGGGCAUUAGUAUUCAAUUGUCAGAGGUGAAAUUCUUGGAUUUAUUGAAGACUGACUACUGCGAAAGCAUUUGCCAAGGAUGUUUUCAUUAAUCAAGAACGAAAGUUAGGGGAUCGAAGACGAUCAGAUACCGUCGUAGUCUUAACCAUAAACUAUGCCGACUAGGGAUCGGAUGAUGUUAAUUUUUUAAUGACUCAUUCGGCGCCUUACG
This 500-nucleotide ribosomal RNA is filed under the name uncultured Glomeromycotina. RNAcentral's name for it is "partial small subunit ribosomal RNA". It matches the Rfam family "Eukaryotic small subunit ribosomal RNA", at positions 591 to 1092 of the family's 1831-position model. Lineage: Eukaryota; Fungi; Glomeromycota. The record is from RNAcentral.